This 238-nucleotide ribosomal RNA is filed under the name uncultured Staphylococcus sp. Its description in RNAcentral is "partial 16S ribosomal RNA". It matches the Rfam family "Bacterial small subunit ribosomal RNA", at positions 102 to 334 of the family's 1533-position model. The record is from RNAcentral. Lineage: Bacteria; Bacillati; Bacillota; Bacilli; Caryophanales; Staphylococcaceae.
ACGGGUGAGUAACACGUGGAUAACCUACCUAUAAGACUGGGAUAACUUCGGGAAACCGGAGCUAAUACCGGAUAAUAUAUUGAACCGCAUGGUUCAAUAGUGAAAGACGGUUUUGCUGUCACUUAUAGAUGGAUCCGCGCCGCAUUAGCUAGUUGGUAAGGUAACGGCUUACCAAGGCAACGAUGCGUAGCCGACCUGAGAGGGUGAUCGGCCACAAUGGAACUGAGACACGGUCCAG